GAUGAACGCUGGCGGCGUGCCUAAUACAUGCAAGUCGAGCGAACGGACGAGAAGCUUGCUUCUCUGGUGUUAGCGGCGGACGGGUGAGUAACACGUGGAUAACCUACCUAUAAGACUGGGAUAACUUCGGGAAACCGGAGCUAAUACCGGAUAAUAUUUUGAACCGCAUGGUUCAAAAGUGAAAGAUGGUCUUGCUGUCACUUAUAGAUGGAUCCGCGCUGCAUUAGCUAGUUGGUAAGGUAACGGCUUACCAAGGCAACGAUGCAUAGCCGACCUAAGAGGGUGAUCGGCCACACGGGAACUGGGAAACGGCCCAAACUCCUACGGGAGGCAGAAGUAGGGAAUCUUCCGCAAUGGGCGAAGGCCGGACGGAGCAACCCCGCGUGAGUGAUGAAGGUCUUCGGAUCGUAAAACUCUGUUAUUAGGGAAGAACAUGUGUGUAAGUAACUGUGCACAUCUUGACGGUACCUAAUCAGAAAGCCACGGCUAACUACGUG
This 497-nucleotide ribosomal RNA is filed under the name uncultured bacterium. RNAcentral's name for it is "partial 16S ribosomal RNA". It matches the Rfam family "Bacterial small subunit ribosomal RNA", at positions 28 to 507 of the family's 1533-position model. The record is from RNAcentral.